GUAAAUAUAAUUUAAUAAAAAUGCUAGAUUGUGAUUCUAGACAUAAAGGUUAAACUCCUUUUAUUUACC
RNAcentral lists this transfer RNA (69 nucleotides) under Photolateralis stercorarius (oblong slipmouth). RNAcentral's name for it is "tRNA-His". It matches the Rfam family "tRNA". Rfam says of the family: Transfer RNA (tRNA) molecules are approximately 80 nucleotides in length. Their secondary structure includes four short double-helical elements and three loops (D, anti-codon, and T loops). The record is from RNAcentral. Lineage: Eukaryota; Metazoa; Chordata; Actinopteri; Chaetodontiformes; Leiognathidae.